Molecule: long non-coding RNA, 1305 nt
Organism: Balaenoptera ricei (Rice's whale)
Lineage: Eukaryota; Metazoa; Chordata; Mammalia; Artiodactyla; Balaenopteridae
Exons: 3
Source: RefSeq, a predicted model, not a curated record
UCUCGGGAUCAGAACUCCUGCAGGCUUCUUGUCACCACAGGGGUGACUGCCGAGAACAGGUAACAUGUAUUGAGCCACGCCAUGUGCUUUACAGUCUUGUGAGGCAGGCACUCCCGUGGUCAUCUCACUUGACACCAAGGAUGCAGAGGCUCGGAGGGAGCAAGUAACUAUCCCAAGGCCACACAGCUGGUUAGUGGUGACCCUGGCACUCCAGGUCAGGCAAUCUGAGGCCAGAGCCCCCACUCCUGGUUACGCCCCCCUUCCCCCAGCCCUCCAAGGCAAGGCCCCGAAUGGUGCAGCCCCUGCCCUCGGCAGCCCCACCGCACUCAACAGACCCUGCAGCUCCAGCCAUGUUGAACUCCCUUCCUCCCACCCAGAAGUGCCCCUUCCCUGUCAAGAGUCCCACCAGCUCCUCAAAGCUCAGCCUACUUGGUUCAUUCUUAGAGUGUUAGUGGGUUGUGUACCUGUCUGCUUCUCCCACCCCGCCAGAUGCUCCUGGAGGGCAGAGAAUCCUUCCAGCAGCCAGCACAGUGCCCUAGGCCUAGUGAGCAUCUUUAAAGGAGGGGAAGAAUGAUGGCUGGCCGGCUGGAUGGAUGAGAUGGUGGAAGGCUGAAGCCAGAAGCACCCCCCGCCCCUGACUCCAGCUUCACUGCAAUCCCUGCAGGACCAGUCCUAGGGACCAUUAAUUUUUUUAUGGACGAUCAAACCCGGAUAGAUUGGAAGGGCCACCACACAGCUGAUUCAAAAACAGUCACCAAGGCGCCAGGGACACCCAUCUGAGGGUCAACCAGGAGAGAUCCGCGCCCCUCUCCCCUGAGGGUGACUUUGACCACCUCCUUCCUCCUCCCUCCGGGAUGGCUCUGAAUCAGCCUCCACGCUCUGCUGCAAGGCUUGUGGCUGUAGAGGUGUUCUGUGAGCACCUGUCUGCCUGGCCUCUGGCCGGAUCUGCUUCUCUCCCGACCCCAGCCAUCCACUCCAUCAGCCUGACAGGCAGCCUCAGUGAGGCCCCAGGGGGUCCCCAGCUGUAGAGCACGAAGCCAAGGCUGGGCAGGGCCUGCCGGGCCCCUGGCCUUUUCUUACCUACCUUGCCCAUGAGCCGGCCUCCCUUACUCCCUCUCUGCUGCUGCAUGCUCCUGACACCUCUUUUCUGGAAGGGAGAGACUGGCCAAGUAGGGCCAUCUUCCUGGGUGUGUGUCUUGUGCAGUCACACAGGGCCUCGUACUUUGAAGGACCUUGUGUUUGGUUUAAUGCUCUGUUGUCAGUGUCUUGAAAUUACUAAUAAUUUUACAAGGAGUCCCACGUUUU